GAUGAAGAACGCAGCGAAAUGCGAUAAGUAAUGUGAAUUGCAGAAGUCAGUGAAUCAUCGAAUCUUUGAACGCACAUUGCGCCCCCUGGUAUUCCGGGGGGCAUGCCUGUUCGAGCGUCAUUUCACCACUCAAGCCUCGCUUGGUAUUGGGCAACGCGGUCCGCCGCGUGCCUCAAAUCGACCGGCUGGGUCUUCUGUCCCCUAAGCGUUGUGGAAACUAUUCGCUAAAGGGUGUUCGGGAGGCUACGCCGUAAAACAACCCCAUUUCUAAGGUUGACCUCGGAUCAGGUAGGGAUACCCGCUGAACUUAAGCAUAUCAAUAAGCGGAGGA
RNAcentral lists this unclassified non-coding RNA (331 nucleotides) under soil metagenome. RNAcentral's name for it is "partial contains 5.8S ribosomal RNA, internal transcribed spacer 2, and large subunit ribosomal RNA". The stretch from base 1 to 120 matches the Rfam family "5.8S ribosomal RNA", at positions 35 to 154 of the family's 154-position model. The record is from RNAcentral.